Rattus norvegicus (Norway rat) is the source of this 129-nucleotide small nucleolar RNA. Ensembl annotates it as small nucleolar RNA SNORA17. NCBI's taxonomy places the organism in Eukaryota, Metazoa, Chordata, Mammalia, Rodentia, Muridae. The record is from Ensembl.
CCUGCCUCUAGAGGUGUUGUCUGUGACUGCCAUGUCACAUGUGUGUCAGUAGGUGGCAGAGAGGGAGAAACUAUGUCUAAGCUCAGCGUUCUGAUCCUUGAACAUCUGAAUGAAUAGUAGCCCAACAUU